UGAAGAACUUACAAAGUUUGAAAGAAUUAUCGUCGUCUGUGGGGAAAAGAAGAAUUUCUUUAAGCGCUCAAGUAAACAUCCUGAGCGAUAUCCUUUCAACCCUAAAAUGGUCGAAUUAAUGGCAGAGAGUCGUGUCUUCAUUUACCCUGAGCUGCUUCCUAAGCUUGCGAUCUUUCAAAGUGAACCAGGGCCGUGUAAAAUGUCUUCAUAUGAAGAACAGCUGAUAGCAAUGGGAAUGGAACAAUUUACUUCAUUUUGUUAGGAACUUUUGAUCGAUAAAAAGAGCGCAGUAGAAAACAUGGUUAAUUCCAUGAUUUCUCACUAAAUGCUACCACAUUGGACUGCCAAAAAGAUCGGAAUUCGUAUCAAGAACAAAUCGCUUAAAAACAAAAGAAGUAAUGAAGAA
Molecule: long non-coding RNA, 406 nt
Organism: Daphnia pulex (common water flea)
Lineage: Eukaryota; Metazoa; Arthropoda; Branchiopoda; Diplostraca; Daphniidae
Exons: 3
Source: RefSeq, a predicted model, not a curated record